UGAAACAUUGAGUAAAACAAGAAGAAAGGAACAAUGUUGAAUUUGAGAUAUUUCAUGUUGUUGCUAUUUGGGCUUAUCAUUUCAGAGCACUUAUUUGUGGGUGGAAAAUCGGAUGUAUCAAACAAAGGCGCCAAAAUUGAGCGUGGAAAUGAAGCAAAUCCCGCGAAAACACCCAUAAAAUUGAAAGAAAAAAUCGCAUAUCAAUUGAAGAACAACCAAUCAAAGACGGCAUAAAGUUUUUUGAAGAGUUGGUAAAAUCUUCUGCUCUUCCAACGAAACCACGAGCAUUGCAAAACAGGAAACAAUUUGAUCAGAAUAUUAUCGUUGUGACAGCAUCCACCAUCCUCCUCGAUGUACCAGAUAUUACAAGGAAGAUCAUUCUUACCCUGGGUUCCAGCCUUUAAAGGCCAUCAGUUGCCCAGUGUGUGGAAAAGUUAAUCUUCCUUACCGAUCUAUUGGCAGACAAUAGCAAAUGGAAUGGUUCAUAGUAGAGCAGAAACAUAUGCAAUGACAUC
This is a long non-coding RNA of Contarinia nasturtii (swede midge), 515 nucleotides long. RefSeq lists it as uncharacterized. The transcript has 4 exons. Lineage: Eukaryota; Metazoa; Arthropoda; Insecta; Diptera; Cecidomyiidae. The record is from RefSeq and is a predicted model, not a curated record.